UUAAGCGACUAAGCGUACACGGUGGAUGCCCUGGCAGUCAGAGGCGAUGAAGGACGUGCUAAUCUGCGAUAAGCGUCGGUAAGGUGAUAUGAACCGUUAUAACCGGCGAUUUCCGAAUGGGGAAACCCAGUGUGAUUCGUCACACUAUCAUUAACUGAAUCCAUAGGUUAAUGAGGCGAACCGGGGGAACUGAAACAUCUAAGUACCCCGAGGAAAAGAAAUCAACCGAGAUUCCCCCAGUAGCGGCGAGCGAACGGGGAGCAGCCCAGAGCCUGAAUCAGUGUGUGUGUUAGUGGAAGCGUCUGGAAAGGCGCGCGAUACAGGGUGACAGCCCCGUACACAAAAAUGCACAUGCUGUGAGCUCGAUGAGUAGGGCGGGACACGUGGUAUCCUGUCUGAAUAUGGGGGGACCAUCCUCCAAGGCUAAAUACUCCUGACUGACCGAUAGUGAACCAGUACCGUGAGGGAAAGGCGAAAAGAACCCCGGCGAGGGGAGUGAAAAAGAACCUGAAACCGUGUACGUACAAGCAGUGGGAGCACGCUUAGGCGUGUGACUGCGUACCUUUUGUAUAAUGGGUCAGCGACUUAUAUUCUGUAGCAAGGUUAACCGAAUAGGGGAGCCGAAGGGAAACCGAGUCUUAACUGGGCGUUAAGUUGCAGGGUAUAGACCCGAAACCCGGUGAUCUAGCCAUGGGCAGGUUGAAGGUUGGGUAACACUAACUGGAGGACCGAACCGACUAAUGUUGAAAAAUUAGCGGAUGACUUGUGGCUGGGGGUGAAAGGCCAAUCAAACCGGGAGAUAGCUGGUUCUCCCCGAAAGCUAUUUAGGUAGCGCCUCGUGAAUUCAUCUCCGGGGGUAGAGCACUGUUUCGGCAAGGGGGUCAUCCCGACUUACCAACCCGAUGCAAACUGCGAAUACCGGAGAAUGUUAUCACGGGAGACACACGGCGGGUGCUAACGUCCGUCGUGAAGAGGGAAACAACCCAGACCGCCAGCUAAGGUCCCAAAGUCAUGGUUAAGUGGGAAACGAUGUGGGAAGGCCCAGACAGCCAGGAUGUUGGCUUAGAAGCAGCCAUCAUUUAAAGAAAGCGUAAUAGCUCACUGGUCGAGUCGGCCUGCGCGGAAGAUGUAACGGGGCUAAACCAUGCACCGAAGCUGCGGCAGCGACGCUGAUGCGUUGUUGGGUAGGGGAGCGUUCUGUAAGCCUGUGAAGGUGUGCUGUGAGGCAUGCUGGAGGUAUCAGAAGUGCGAAUGCUGACAUAAGUAACGAUAAAGCGGGUGAAAAGCCCGCUCGCCGGAAGACCAAGGGUUCCUGUCCAACGUUAAUCGGGGCAGGGUGAGUCGACCCCUAAGGCGAGGCCGAAAGGCGUAGUCGAUGGGAAACAGGUUAAUAUUCCUGUACUUGGUGUUACUGCGAAGGGGGGACGGAGAAGGCUAUGUUGGCCGGGCGACGGUUGUCCCGGUUUAAGCGUGUAGGCUGGUUUUCCAGGCAAAUCCGGAAAAUCAAGGCUGAGGCGUGAUGACGAGGCACUACGGUGCUGAAGCAACAAAUGCCCUGCUUCCAGGAAAAGCCUCUAAGCAUCAGGUAACAUCAAAUCGUACCCCAAACCGACACAGGUGGUCAGGUAGAGAAUACCAAGGCGCUUGAGAGAACUCGGGUGAAGGAACUAGGCAAAAUGGUGCCGUAACUUCGGGAGAAGGCACGCUGAUAUGUAGGUGAAGCGACUUGCUCGUGGAGCUGAAAUCAGUCGAAGAUACCAGCUGGCUGCAACUGUUUAUUAAAAACACAGCACUGUGCAAACACGAAAGUGGACGUAUACGGUGUGACGCCUGCCCGGUGCCGGAAGGUUAAUUGAUGGGGUCAGCGCAAGCGAAGCUCUUGAUCGAAGCCCCGGUAAACGGCGGCCGUAACUAUAACGGUCCUAAGGUAGCGAAAUUCCUUGUCGGGUAAGUUCCGACCUGCACGAAUGGCGUAAUGAUGGCCAGGCUGUCUCCACCCGAGACUCAGUGAAAUUGAACUCGCUGUGAAGAUGCAGUGUACCCGCGGCAAGACGGAAAGACCCCGUGAACCUUUACUAUAGCUUGACACUGAACAUUGAGCCUUGAUGUGUAGGAUAGGUGGGAGGCUUUGAAGUGUGGACGCCAGUCUGCAUGGAGCCGACCUUGAAAUACCACCCUUUAAUGUUUGAUGUUCUAACGUUGACCCGUGAUCCGGGUUGCGGACAGUGUCUGGUGGGUAGUUUGACUGGGGCGGUCUCCUCCUAAAGAGUAACGGAGGAGCACGAAGGUUGGCUAAUCCUGGUCGGACAUCAGGAGGUUAGUGCAAUGGCAUAAGCCAGCUUGACUGCGAGCGUGACGGCGCGAGCAGGUGCGAAAGCAGGUCAUAGUGAUCCGGUGGUUCUGAAUGGAAGGGCCAUCGCUCAACGGAUAAAAGGUACUCCGGGGAUAACAGGCUGAUACCGCCCAAGAGUUCAUAUCGACGGCGGUGUUUGGCACCUCGAUGUCGGCUCAUCACAUCCUGGGGCUGAAGUAGGUCCCAAGGGUAUGGCUGUUCGCCAUUUAAAGUGGUACGCGAGCUGGGUUUAGAACGUCGUGAGACAGUUCGGUCCCUAUCUGCCGUGGGCGCUGGAGAACUGAGGGGGGCUGCUCCUAGUACGAGAGGACCGGAGUGGACGCAUCACUGGUGUUCGGGUUGUCAUGCCAAUGGCACUGCCCGGUAGCUAAAUGCGGAAGAGAUAAGUGCUGAAAGCAUCUAAGCACGAAACUUGCCCCGAGAUGAGUUCUCCCUGACUCCUUGAGAGUCCUGAAGGAACGUUGAAGACGACGACGUUGAUAGGCCGGGUGUGUAAGCGCAGCGAUGCGUUGAGCUAACCGGUACUAAUGAACCGUGAGGCUUAACCUU
This 2902-nucleotide ribosomal RNA is filed under the name Escherichia coli O104:H4 str. 11-02030. RNAcentral describes it as "bacterial LSU rRNA". It matches the Rfam family "Bacterial large subunit ribosomal RNA". RNAcentral also lists the same sequence under 1 other name. Lineage: Bacteria; Pseudomonadati; Pseudomonadota; Gammaproteobacteria; Enterobacterales; Enterobacteriaceae. The record is from RNAcentral.